CCUUCUUGAGCCUGCGCUCGCGGGACGCCUGCGAGUCGGUCUCCGAGUACGGGGGCGGCGCGGGCGGGUAGUAGGCCUCUUCCUCCUCCUCCUUGUGGGGUCUCCUCCUCUCCUCCGACCCCUUCUUCCUCACAGCCUCCUGCAGUAGCCGCCCAUCAUAGGGGAGGUCCCCGGACCUGGAGCCGUUGUCCCGAGGGUCCCGGGUACGGUGGUGCUGGGACCUGGGGUCGGCAGGAGGGCGCUCCCGAGACCUUAAGUCGUCGUAGUGGGGGUCCCGGGAGCGUGGGAAGUCCCUCGAGUCGUCUUGGUCAUAGAGGUCGUCCCGGCUGCGGCUCCGCGGGGGCAUGUAGGCCCGGCUUCUCCUCCCACCACUACUCGUGGGAGACCUGCUCCCUGACUCGGCGGUGCUCGGCGGGGUGAGGUCGUCCAGGGCGUCCACGGAGCGGGCCCGGGGCCGCCUGGCCCGCCAGCCCCCGCCUGCCUGCUCCCUGGCGGGCUCCUGGUCCCAUCCCCUGGGACUCCGGGGGGAGUGGCCACCCCACUCCUCAUCCCGGAUAGGGGUGAGGGCAGGGCCCCGGGAAGGCCGAGAUCGCCAGUCGUCCUCGUGGAGGGAGGUGACUUCACUCAUGGCUGCAGGGAAGGGGGGGUGUCACUGACUGCUGGAGGAGCCCGGGGUCCAGGGUUUGCACCAAGAGUCCCUGCGGCAGGUAUCAGGGAGACAUGCUUCACCCCCCCACCUUAAAAGCCCUCAGACCCCAAGGCUCUUGCUUACCCCGCUCCACACGGCCAUUGGGGGGGCCAGGUCGAGAAGGGUCGAAGUUGGCCAGCUCCUUCUCCAUGUAGUACAGGACCCGCAUGGAGUCGUCCUGCUGGCUGGCCUGAAUCCUGUAGCCACUGCGGACUUCUAGGGACAGGGGGGUGGUGGUCGGUUUGGGAGGAUGGAUCCUGGCCCACCCCUCUCCCUUACAGGCGCAUCCAACUUCGGGAUGAUGGAUUCUCACCAGAGGCCACACUGCUGUCCGUGUCCCGAAGCAGGGGUACAUAGGAGCCUUGGCCACCAGCUGGGGGAGAGUGGCUGUCAGUGGCCGCGCACCAGGAGCAGAGCCCCUCCUCGGCUCCUAAGACACUCUUCCUUCCAGCCCCUGCCCCUCAGUGUCCAGAUGCCCAGCACACCCCCACCAGCUGUUCCUGCUUCCCCCGACCUCACCUGAGCUACUCCUGUCAACGUCUCCAGGCUAACUUACUGGAAGAAGUGGCCACCCCAUGGUCUGU
RNAcentral lists this long non-coding RNA (1272 nucleotides) under Pan troglodytes (chimpanzee). Its description in RNAcentral is "long non-coding RNA NONPTRT008468". Lineage: Eukaryota; Metazoa; Chordata; Mammalia; Primates; Hominidae. The record is from RNAcentral.